This 464-nucleotide ribosomal RNA is filed under the name uncultured bacterium. RNAcentral describes it as "partial 16S ribosomal RNA". It matches the Rfam family "Bacterial small subunit ribosomal RNA", at positions 338 to 795 of the family's 1533-position model. The record is from RNAcentral.
CCUACGGGAGGCAGCAGUAGGGAAUCUUCCACAAUGGGCGAAAGCCUGAUGGAGCAACGCCGCGUGGGUGAAGAAGGUCUUCGGAUCGUAAAACCCUGUUGUUAGAGAAGAAAGUGCGUGAGAGUAACUAUUCACGUUUCGACGGUAUCUAUCCAGGAAGCCACGGCUAACUCCGUGCCAGCCGCCGCGGUAAUACGUAGGUGGCAAGCGUUAUCCGGAUUUAUUGGGUUUAAAGGGUGCGUAGGCGGACUGUUAAGUCAGCGGUAAAAGGCCGGGGCUCAACCCCGGCGAGCCGUUGAAACUGGCUGUCUUGAGAUGUCGAGAGGUAUGCGGAAUGCGCAGUGUAGCGGUGAAAUGCUUAGAUAUUGCGCAGAACUCCGAUUGCGAAGGCAGCAUACCGGCGGCGAUCUGACGCUGAGGCACGAAAGCGUGGGUAUCGAACAGGAUUAGAUACCCUUGUAGUC